CAAGAUUGGGGAUUUCCAGAUCCCAUUUAAGAAAAUUGCAAUUUCGAAAACUGUGUGUUUAGAGGUAGUAAUUGGGUUAAUUUUUGGCUUGUUUGGUUUCAGACGAACUGGAAGGAAAUUUAGUGAAAUUUUCUUUUCUCAAGUUUAACCUUUAUAGUGUUUAAGGAGAGGAGGUAAGAUCUAAUCUAGGCAUGGUCUAUUUGGUUGUUGAAAGAGUUUAAAAUCUCCUGGUUUCAGUUUCUAAGAGUUAAGAUCUUGAGUAAUCUUGUUUUCUGUAGAUUGGUGAGAAAGUGUGGGAAAAGGCAAGAAAGUGUGAUUUCUGGAAAUUGGGCAUAUUAAUUAACAUCAGAUUUUAGUUAUUGGCUAAUUAAGUUGACAUAUAAAUGAUCAGAUUGAAUUAUUUGUUCUCUUUGUUAAUGUAAAGG
RNAcentral lists this unclassified non-coding RNA (425 nucleotides) under Hevea brasiliensis (rubber tree). The record is from RNAcentral. Lineage: Eukaryota; Viridiplantae; Streptophyta; Magnoliopsida; Malpighiales; Euphorbiaceae.